AACGAACGGUGGCGGCGUGGAUAAGACAUGCAAGUCGAACGGGAUAUUUUGGGUAGCAAUAUUCAAAAUGUUCAGUGGCGCAAGGGUGCGUAACACGUGGGCAAUCUGCCUGGGGGCGCGGGAUAGCUCGGCGAAAGUCGAAUUAAUACCGCAUACGGCUACUGAGGACAUCCUCGGGACGCUAAAGACGGCGUAAGCUGUCAUUCCCAGAUGAGCCCGCGGCCUAUCAGCUAGUUGGUGAGGUAAUGGCUCACCAAGGCUAUGACGGGUAGCUGGUCUGAGAGGACGACCAGCCACACUGGAACUGAGACACGGUCCAGACACCUACGGGUGGCAGCAGUCGAGAAUUUUUCUCAAUGGGCGAAAGCCUGAAGGAGCGACGCCGCGUGGAGGAUGAAGGUCUUCGGACUGUAAACUCCUGUCAUUUGGGAACAAACCCUCCGUUUAACUGACGGAAGGCUGAUAGUACCAGAAGAGGAAGAGACGGCUAACUCUGUGCC
Molecule: ribosomal RNA, 500 nt
Filed under: uncultured Verrucomicrobiales bacterium
Lineage: Bacteria; Pseudomonadati; Verrucomicrobiota; Verrucomicrobiia; Verrucomicrobiales
Description: bacterial SSU rRNA
Rfam family: Bacterial small subunit ribosomal RNA
Source: RNAcentral